Non-coding RNA from Phoenix dactylifera (date palm), 859 nucleotides. The record is from RefSeq and is a predicted model, not a curated record. Lineage: Eukaryota; Viridiplantae; Streptophyta; Magnoliopsida; Arecales; Arecaceae.
CCCCCCCCGCCUCCAUUAGAGUUUCACCUCGAAGCCCUUCGAAACCCUAAUCUCUGGUCCCAAGAAGCUCUCCGCCGGUUCUUGCUCGGAUUCCGUUCGGGGGUCUAGGGUUUUUGGGACGGGGUGGAGGAGCUAGGGCGGCCGGUGGAUAUCUGGCCUCCGCCCCUCGAAGAUGGAUAGAGAGGAGUUUAAGGGGACCAGCGAGGCCGGGGGAGCCAGAUUCCACAUCCUUCAGCCCAGUCGCGACCUCCAGUCCAAUUGGGAAGUCGAUCUUGCCAAGAAUCUUGAAGAGUAUUUGCUCAAGAUUUGUUCUGGCGAGAUCUCGUCCGACCAGGACCAUGUGCUCCACUCCGUGAACUUUGCUGAAGCUGCACUGCCGCUUCAAGGUUCGGUUCACGUGUAUAGCCGGAAAGUAGAGUAUUUGUAUUCUCUGGUUUUGCAUGCCUUGGAGUUUCUUUGACAGAAGAGCUGGUCAUGUUUGGGUUUGGAGGAACUAAAAUGACAGAGAAGGGACAGAAGAGAAGCAAAAACUACAUGUAUAAUCUGGUGGUGAAGUUAAGGGCUCGGGUCACGUGGCACAAUUUUAUCAGAUGAUUCAAGUCCUCAUUCAAUUACUUGGAGUGUUAAUGGAGCAUACUAAAACAUCAAAACUAUCAUAUAGUCCAAAUUUGUUUGUGUAUUAGGUGUGAAUUUAUUUAGUAUUUUUUUUAGCGUCCCAUAAUUUACUUAGUCCUUAAGGAACUUGGACCUUUAUUGACUUGGCCAUGAAGUCACUUUACCUACAAGUUACUUGAGCCCUAAGUUUUCGUAAAAUAUAUAUGAUUAGUUGGUUAACAAAGUUGGCUAUAUAUAUAUAUAU